UACGGAGGAUGCGAGCGUUAUCCGGAUUUAUUGGGUUUAAAGGGUGCGUAGGCGGUUUGAUAAGUUAGAGGUGAAAUGUCGGGGCUCAACCCCGAAACUGCCUCUAAUACUGUUGGACUAGAGAAUAGUUGCGGUAGGCGGAAUGUAUGGUGUAGCGGUGAAAUGCAUAGAGAUCACACAGAACACCGAUUGCGAAGGCAGCUUACAAAUCUAUAUCGGACGCUGAGGCACGAAAGCGUGGGGAGCAAACAGG
RNAcentral lists this ribosomal RNA (253 nucleotides) under uncultured Rikenellaceae bacterium. Its description in RNAcentral is "partial 16S ribosomal RNA". It matches the Rfam family "Bacterial small subunit ribosomal RNA", at positions 524 to 776 of the family's 1533-position model. Lineage: Bacteria; Pseudomonadati; Bacteroidota; Bacteroidia; Bacteroidales; Rikenellaceae. The record is from RNAcentral.